UUAAGCGACUAAGCGUACACGGUGGAUGCCCUGGCAGUCAGAGGCGAUGAAGGACGUGCUAAUCUGCGAUAAGCGUCGGUGAGGUGAUAUGAACCGUUAUAACCGGCGAUUUCCGAAUGGGGAAACCCAGUGUGUUUCGACACACUAUCAUUAACUGAAUCCAUAGGUUAAUGAGGCGAACCGGGGGAACUGAAACAUCUAAGUACCCCCGAGGAAAAGAAAUCAACCGAGAUUCCCCCAGUAGCGGCGAGCGAACGGGGAGGAGCCCAGAGCCUGAAUCAGUGUGUGUGUUAGUGGAAGCGUCUGGAAAGGCGUGCGAUACAGGGUGACAGCCCCGUACACAAAAAUGCACAUAUUGUGAGCUCGAUGAGUAGGGCGGGACACGUGGUAUCCUGUCUGAAUAUGGGGGGACCAUCCUCCAAGGCUAAAUACUCCUGACUGACCGAUAGUGAACCAGUACCGUGAGGGAAAGGCGAAAAGAACCCCGGCGAGGGGAGUGAAAAAGAACCUGAAACCGUGUACGUACAAGCAGUGGGAGCCUCUUAAUGGGGUGACUGCGUACCUUUUGUAUAAUGGGUCAGCGACUUAUAUUCUGUAGCAAGGUUAACCGAAUAGGGGAGCCGAAGGGAAACCGAGUCUUAACUGGGCGUUAAGUUGCAGGGUAUAGACCCGAAACCCGGUGAUCUAGCCAUGGGCAGGUUGAAGGUUGGGUAACACUAACUGGAGGACCGAACCGACUAAUGUUGAAAAAUUAGCGGAUGACUUGUGGCUGGGGGUGAAAGGCCAAUCAAACCGGGAGAUAGCUGGUUCUCCCCGAAAGCUAUUUAGGUAGCGCCUCGUGAAUUCAUCUCCGGGGGGUAGAGCACUGUUUCGGCAAGGGGGUCAUCCCGACUUACCAACCCGAUGCAAACUGCGAAUACCGGAGAAUGUUAUCACGGGAGACACACGGCGGGUGCUAACGUCCGUCGUGAAGAGGGAAACAACCCAGACCGCCAGCUAAGGUCCCAAAGUCAUGGUUAAGUGGGAAACGAUGUGGGAAGGCCCAGACAGCCAGGAUGUUGGCUUAGAAGCAGCCAUCAUUUAAAGAAAGCGUAAUAGCUCACUGGUCGAGUCGGCCUGCGCGGAAGAUGUAACGGGGCUAAACCAUGCACCGAAGCUGCGGCAGCGACACUAUGUGUUGUUGGGUAGGGGAGCGUUCUGUAAGCCUGUGAAGGUGGCCUGUGAGGGUUGCUGGAGGUAUCAGAAGUGCGAAUGCUGACAUAAGUAACGAUAAAGCGGGUGAAAAGCCCGCUCGCCGGAAGACCAAGGGUUCCUGUCCAACGUUAAUCGGGGCAGGGUGAGUCGACCCCUAAGGCGAGGCCGAAAGGCGUAGUCGAUGGGAAACAGGUUAAUAUUCCUGUACUUGGUGUUACUGCGAAGGGGGGGGACGGAGAAGGCUAUGUUGGCCGGGCGACGGUUGUCCCGGUUUAAGCGUGUAGGCUGGUUUUCCGGGCAAAUCCGGAAAACCAAGGCUGAGGCGUGAUGACGAGGCACUACGGUGCUGAAGCGACAAAUGCCCUGCUUCCGGGGAAAAGCCUCUAAGCAUCAGGUAACAUCAAAUCGUACCCCCAAACCGACACAGGUGGUCAGGUAGAGAAUACCAAGGCGCUUGAGAGAACUCGGGUGAAGGAACUAGGCAAAAUGGUGCCGUAACUUCGGGAGAAGGCACGCUGAUAUGUAGGUGAAGCGACUUGCUCGUGGAGCUGAAAUCAGUCGAAGAUACCAGCUGGCUGCAACUGUUUAUUAAAAAACACAGCACUGUGCAAACACGAAAGUGGACGUAUACGGUGUGACGCCUGCCCGGUGCCGGAAGGUUAAUUGAUGGGGUUAGCGGUAACGCGAAGCUCUUGAUCGAAGCCCCGGUAAACGGCGGCCGUAACUAUAACGGUCCUAAGGUAGCGAAAUUCCUUGUCGGGUAAGUUCCGACCUGCACGAAUGGCGUAAUGAUGGCCAGGCUGUCUCCACCCGAGACUCAGUGAAAUUGAACUCGCUGUGAAGAUGCAGUGUACCCGCGGCAAGACGGAAAGACCCCGUGAACCUUUACUAUAGCUUGACACUGAACAUUGAGCCUUGAUGUGUAGGAUAGGUGGGAGGCUUUGAAGUGUGGACGCCAGUCUGCAUGGAGCCGACCUUGAAAUACCACCCUUUAAUGUUUGAUGUUCUAACGUUGGCCCGUAAUCCGGGUUGCGGACAGUGUCUGGUGGGUAGUUUGACUGGGGCGGUCUCCUCCUAAAGAGUAACGGAGGAGCACGAAGGUUGGCUAAUCCUGGUCGGACAUCAGGAGGUUAGUGCAAUGGCAUAAGCCAGCUUGACUGCGAGCGUGACGGCGCGAGCAGGUGCGAAAGCAGGUCAUAGUGAUCCGGUGGUUCUGAAUGGAAGGGCCAUCGCUCAACGGAUAAAAAGGUACUCCGGGGAUAACAGGCUGAUACCGCCCAAGAGUUCAUAUCGACGGCGGUGUUUGGCACCUCGAUGUCGGCUCAUCACAUCCUGGGGCUGAAGUAGGUCCCAAGGGUAUGGCUGUUCGCCAUUUAAAGUGGUACGCGAGCUGGGUUUAGAACGUCGUGAGACAGUUCGGUCCCCUAUCUGCCGUGGGCGCUGGAGAACUGAGGGGGGGCUGCUCCUAGUACGAGAGGACCGGAGUGGACGCAUCACUGGUGUUCGGGUUGUCAUGCCAAUGGCACUGCCCGGUAGCUAAAUGCGGAAGAGAUAAGUGCUGAAAGCAUCUAAGCACGAAACUUGCCCCGAGAUGAGUUCUCCCUGAGACUUAGAGUCUCCUGAAGGAACGUUGAAGACGACGACGUUGAUAGGCCGGGUGUGUAAGCGCAGCGAUGCGUUGAGCUAACCGGUACUAAUGAACCGUGAGGCUUAACCU
This 2911-nucleotide ribosomal RNA is filed under the name Escherichia coli. Its description in RNAcentral is "23S ribosomal RNA". It matches the Rfam family "Bacterial large subunit ribosomal RNA". The record is from RNAcentral. Lineage: Bacteria; Pseudomonadati; Pseudomonadota; Gammaproteobacteria; Enterobacterales; Enterobacteriaceae.